GUGCGUAGCUAACGCGAUAAGUAUCCCGCCUGGGGAGUACGGCCGCAAGGCUGAAACUCAAAGGAAUUGACGGGGGCCCGCACAAGCGGUGGAACAUGUGGUUUAAUUCGAUGCAACGCGAAGAACCUUACCUGGGCUUGACAUCUACGGAACCUUCUGGAAACAGGAGGGUGCCUUCGGGAGCCGUAAGACAGGUGGUGCACGGUUGUCGUCAGCUCGUGUCGUGAGAUGUUGGGUUAAGUCCCGCAACGAGCGCAACCCUCGUGGUCUGUUGUUACAGGUCGUAAGAUGCUGAACCCUCAGGCCAGACUGCCGGUGACAAACCGGAGGAAGGUGGGGAUGACGUCAAAUCAUCACGCCCCUUAUGUCCAGGGCUACACACGUGUUACAAUGGGUAAGAGACAAUGGGUCGCUUGGCAGCGAUGUCUGGCAAAUCCCAGAAACUCUCCCUCAGUUCGGAUCGUAGUCUGCAACUCGACUACGUGAAGUCGGAAUCGCUAGUAAACGCAGAUCAGCACGCUGCGUUGAAUACGUUCCCGGGCCUUGUACACACCGCCCGUCACACCACGAAAGAAGGUUAUGCCCGAAGUCGGUGCCCUAACCCGUAAGGGAAGGAGCCGCCUAAGGUGGAACUUUUGAUUGGGGUGAAGUCGUAACAAGGUAACCAAGGG
RNAcentral lists this ribosomal RNA (671 nucleotides) under uncultured bacterium. RNAcentral's name for it is "bacterial SSU rRNA". It matches the Rfam family "Bacterial small subunit ribosomal RNA", at positions 844 to 1506 of the family's 1533-position model. The record is from RNAcentral.